This is a small nuclear RNA of 56 nucleotides. Its record names the gene U7. It matches the Rfam family "U7 small nuclear RNA". Rfam says of the family: Animal histone pre-mRNAs are spliced by a different mechanism than nuclear pre-mRNAs and self-splicing introns. The record is from Ensembl.
GGAAAUUAGCUCUUUGAGUAUUUCUCCAGUAGGUUUCCUGAAGGCGAAAGACCCCC